GAUAUAGCUCAGUUGGUGGAGUGCUUGCCUCACAUGCAUAAGGCCCUGGGUUCAAUCCCCAAUAUAAACA
RNAcentral lists this transfer RNA (70 nucleotides) under Ictidomys tridecemlineatus (thirteen-lined ground squirrel). Its description in RNAcentral is "Spermophilus tridecemlineatus (thirteen-lined ground squirrel) tRNA". It matches the Rfam family "tRNA". Rfam says of the family: Transfer RNA (tRNA) molecules are approximately 80 nucleotides in length. Their secondary structure includes four short double-helical elements and three loops (D, anti-codon, and T loops). Lineage: Eukaryota; Metazoa; Chordata; Mammalia; Rodentia; Sciuridae. The record is from Rfam by way of RNAcentral.